This 739-nucleotide ribosomal RNA is filed under the name uncultured marine eukaryote. RNAcentral's name for it is "bacterial SSU rRNA". It matches the Rfam family "Eukaryotic small subunit ribosomal RNA", at positions 452 to 1185 of the family's 1831-position model. The record is from RNAcentral.
UGACACAGGGAGGUAGUGACAAAAAAUAACGAUACGGGGCGCAAGUCGUCUUGUAAUCUGUAAUGAGUCUAACUUAAAAACCUUAACGAUGAUCCACUGGAGGGCAAGUCUGGUGCCAGCAGCCGCGGUAAUUCCAGCUCCAGUAGCGUAUAUUAAAGUUGUUGCAGUUAAAAAGCUCGUAGUUGGAUUUCUGGUACGCCUGGCCUGACCCGCUCCGGCUACGGUAGUGUGUGUCGGCGCCCGGUUGCCAUCCUUCCAGAGAACUCGUUCUACCCUUAACUGGGCCGGGGCAGCGAUCUGGAACUUUUACUUUGAAAAAAUUAGAGUGUUCAAAGCAGGCUUGCGCUAUGAAUACAUUAGCAUGGAAUAAUAAUUUAGGACUCUCGUUCUAUAUUUAUUGGUUCGAAGGACUUGAGUAAUGAUUGAUAGGGAUAGUUGGGGGUGCUAGUAUUCAGCGGCCAGAGGUGAAAUUCUUGGAUUCGCUGAAGACUAACUUAUGCGAAAGCAUUCACCAAGGAUGUCUUCUUUAAUCAAGAACGAAAGUUGGGGGAUCGAAGACGAUCAGAUACCGUCGUAGUCUCAACCAUAAACUAUACCGACUAAGGAUGAGUGAACGUUGCAUAUUCGACUUCAUUCGCACUUUAUGAGAAAUCAAAGUCUUUAGGUUCUGGGGGGAGUAUGGUCGCAAGGCUGAAACUUAAAGGAAUUGACGGAGGGGCACCACCAGGAGUGGAGCCUG